AGCGGCAAACCCUAAUGUACUCCGCCUGCAUACUAUCUCUGCAUUUUUGCCAAAUAUGUGAAGGAGCAGUGUACAUCUCACAUUUCGUUGUUGCUCAUCUGUUUUGGGCAAGAAAAACUAAUGCUCUUGCCCUCUCUCCUCCACGCCACCAUUGGACAACCUCAAAGUUUUGCAUGGUUGUGAAGUGUGGAGGAGAUAAAAAGGCUCAACACCAUUCUCAACAAGGGCUGCCACUACAAAACGUAAACUUUCCUCUUCUCUUUAGUUAUUAGUUUUAUUUGAUCAAUUUAUUUGAUUGCCUAGCUAUCUGUUUGUCUGCUUGUUUAUCUAUUUUAUCCUAGUUUGUUUAAGUGUGAAUUAUUGUUUAAGUGUCUUCUAGUUAUGUAGUUGUUUUGUUUAGUUCUAUUAGUGGUAGAUUAGAUAGA
Molecule: long non-coding RNA, 425 nt
Organism: Lycium ferocissimum
Lineage: Eukaryota; Viridiplantae; Streptophyta; Magnoliopsida; Solanales; Solanaceae
Exons: 2
Source: RefSeq, a predicted model, not a curated record